GGCUCAGAUUGAACGCUGGCGGCAGGCCUAACACAUGCAAGUCGAGCGGUAGAGAGAAGCUUGCUUCUCUUGAGAGCGGCGGACGGGUGAGUAAUGCCUAGGGAAUCUGCCUGGUAGUGGGGGAUAACGUCCGGAAACGGACGCUAAUACCGCAUACGUCCUACGGGAGAAAGCAGGGGACCUUCGGGCCUUGCGCUAUCAGAUGAGCCUAGGUCGGAUUAGCUAGUUGGUGAGGUAAUGGCUCACCAAGGCGACGAUCCGUAACUGGUCUGAGAGGAUGAUCAGUCACACUGGAACUGAGACACGGUCCAGACUCCUACGGGAGGCAGCAGUGGGGAAUAUUGGACAAUGGGCGAAAGCCUGAUCCAGCCAUGCCGCGUGUGUGAAGAAGGUCUUCGGAUUGUAAAGCACUUUAAGUUGGGAGGAAGGGUACUUACCUAAUACGUGAGUAUUUUGACGUUACCGACAGAAUAAGCACCGGCUAACUCUGUGCCAGCAGCCGCGGUAAUACAGAGGGUGCAAGCGUUAAUCGGAAUUACUGGGCGUAAAGCGCGCGUAGGUGGUUCGUUAAGUUGGAUGUGAAAUCCCCGGGCUCAACCUGGGAACUGCAUCCAAAACUGGCGAGCUAGAGUAUGGUAGAGGGUGGUGGAAUUUCCUGUGUAGCGGUGAAAUGCGUAGAUAUAGGAAGGAACACCAGUGGCGAAGGCGACCACCUGGACUGAUACUGACACUGAGGUGCGAAAGCGUGGGGAGCAAGCAGGAUUAGAUACCCUGGUAGUCCACGCCGUAAACGUUGUCUUCUAGCCGUUGGGAGCCUUGAGCUCUUAGUGGCGCAGCUAACGCAUUA
This 847-nucleotide ribosomal RNA is filed under the name Pseudomonas sp. N5. RNAcentral describes it as "bacterial SSU rRNA". It matches the Rfam family "Bacterial small subunit ribosomal RNA", at positions 21 to 862 of the family's 1533-position model. Lineage: Bacteria; Pseudomonadati; Pseudomonadota; Gammaproteobacteria; Pseudomonadales; Pseudomonadaceae. The record is from RNAcentral.